UGGGGAAUAUUGCACAAUGGGCGAAAGCCUGAUGCAGCAACGCCGCGUGAGUGAUGAAGGUCUUCGGAUUGUAAAGCUCUGUCUUUUGGGACGAUAAUGACGGUACCAAAGGAGGAAGCCACGGCUAACUACGUGCCAGCAGCCGCGGUAAUACGUAGGUGGCGAGCGUUGUCCGGAUUUACUGGGCGUAAAGGGUGCGUAGGCGGAUGUUUAAGUGAGAUGUGAAAUACCCGGGCUUAACUUGGGUGCUGCAUUUCAAACUGGAUAUCUAGAGUGCAGGAGAGGAGAAUGGAAUUCCUAGUGUAGCGGUGAAAUGCGUAGAGAUUAGGAAGAACACCAGUGGCGAAGGCGAUUCUCUGGACUGUAACUGGCGCUGAGGCACGAAAGCGUGGGUAGCAAACAGGAUUAGAUACCCUGGUAGUCCACGCCGUAAACGAUGAGUACUAGGUGUAGGAGGUAUCGACCCCUUCUGUGCCGCAGUAAACACAUUAAGUACUCCGCCUGGGAAGUACGAUCGCAAGAUUAAAACUCUAAAGUGAAUUGAC
RNAcentral lists this ribosomal RNA (545 nucleotides) under uncultured bacterium. Its description in RNAcentral is "partial 16S ribosomal RNA". It matches the Rfam family "Bacterial small subunit ribosomal RNA", at positions 355 to 914 of the family's 1533-position model. The record is from RNAcentral.